Molecule: transfer-messenger RNA, 397 nt
Filed under: Muribaculaceae
Lineage: Bacteria; Pseudomonadati; Bacteroidota; Bacteroidia; Bacteroidales
Also listed under: 1 other name
Description: Sodaliphilus sp017619255 Standard tmRNA
Rfam family: transfer-messenger RNA
About the family: Bacterial tmRNA, also known as 10Sa RNA or SsrA, is named for its dual tRNA and mRNA-like properties. Its role is to liberate the mRNA from a stalled ribosome. To accomplish this part of the tmRNA is used as a reading frame that ends in a translation stop signal.
Source: RNAcentral
GGGGCUGACUGGCUUUGACAGCGUGUUGAGGUGGUAAGCAAGCAUGCAGAGCGAUAAUGGCAUGGCUCUAUAAUCUCAGUCAUUGACAAAUUUAAAUGGCGAAAACAAUUACGCUCUCGCUGCCUGAUCGAAAAUAGUAGGUCACGCUCAAUCACUGCCAAGGGCGGUGACGAGACAUCACCCAACUGCCCUCGCGCCGAGGCGGGUUGAAACGGUGGUGCCGGAAUAUCGGCGAUAGGACGAAGCCUUCCUCGAGCUAAGUCCGAAAUUUAGAGGAUAAGUUGCCAGUUGGUCGUCCCGGGCCUGCUGUCAGUCGAAAACCAAGCCGGGACUAAGCAUGUAGAAACCUUAUUAGUUCCGCGGUUGGACGAGGGUUCAAACCCCUCCAGCUCCACAG